This 382-nucleotide unclassified non-coding RNA is filed under the name uncultured Planctomycetota bacterium. Its description in RNAcentral is "uncultured planctomycete contains 16S-23S intergenic spacer region". Lineage: Bacteria; Pseudomonadati; Planctomycetota. The record is from RNAcentral.
UUCGGUUUAACACCGGCAGUCUCCUUAGAGUCCCCGGCAUGACCCGCUGGUAACUAAGGACAAGGGUUUCGCUCGUUACGGGACUUAACCCAACAUCUCACGACACGAGCUGACGACAGCCAUGCAAUACCUGUGCUAGCUCCUCCAAAGGAGGUCCCGCCCCUUUCAGUUUGGUACCACUAGCAUGUCAAGCCCAGGUAAGGUUCUUCGCGUUGCAUCGAAUUAAACAACAUGCUCCACCGCUUGUGUGAGCCCCCGUCAAUUCCUUUGAGUUUUAGCCUUGCGACCAUACUCCCCAGGCGGGGCACUUAACACAUUAGCUCCGGCAGGGAGGGCUUGGGACCCCCCCUACGUAGUGCCCAUCGUUUACAGCUAGGACUAC